AUUUGGCAACCCUAGAGGCAGAUGAUGCUGAGAGAAGUCAUUGCCUUGAAAAAAAUAUCACUGCCUGCUUUCAGAAAGGUCAGCUGUCCCACAGGUGAACAUGUCUCCCAUUUUGGAAAUUCAAGGUAUCCAUAAAAGCCUGUUCCAUGCUGAUGGAGUCACCCCUUACCCCUGAAGCAUCUGUCUGUUUUAUUCUGGAAACUUCAACAUGGUGCCCACCUCAAAUGCCAUGCUUUUGCUGUGUCAUCCUUCUGGCUCCGAAUCCCGCUCUGAUUCAGGAGCCUGAGCAAUGGCUUGAAUGAUGUCAUCGUAGUCGUGCUUUUAUGUGAAGGAUUCGAGUUCUGGCUGUCGUCGUCGCUACAGUUUUCCAGCUUUGGCUGUGUUGGGUAUGAAAAGCAAGGCUGAUUGGCUGCAAUGCAGGAAACCUUUCAGAUCAUUUUAAAGGAGAAGCCUCCUGGAAGCUGUUUAGAAGACCUGCUGUUAAGAAAACUUAAUACUGCAUCAUUACGCACACUUGUUUAUGUAUCAACAGAACUGGAGAACUGAAACUAUUCACCAGCAAGAUGACUGCAAGCUGGCAUUAAUUGGGGGCGGCAACUGUAUUUAAGAGAAGCUACACCUGGAUGACAGAUUUCAGAGGGUUAGCCAUGAUGUCUUCAGGGUAUGAAGAGACUGCUUGGUUUUUGUUGUGGCAGAUGAAAUAUUCAUUGCAGCAGCAUCCUUUUGUCAGUCGCAGCCCAUUUCAUGUGUUGCUUGCCUUCAUGUGUCCAUUAAAGAGGCUUACGCCACAAUAAGCCAGUUAGUUUUUAAGGGGCCACGAAUACCAACAUUUACAGCGCUGAUAACAAAUUUGGAGACCCAGCUUCAGAGUUGGAUUUGUGUGUGUGUGCUCACUCCAGGGUGUUUGUGGAUGAAGCCCUAGACUGCUAAAUGCUGAAAAACCUAUUUGUGUGACUGAAACAAAGCAAGUUUUCAUGUUCUGUCUGCUUUAGGUUCAUCCAUUUUUCUCCCCAGUCCUCACUGUUGCCUUCUGCAAUCCCUGCUAGGAUAACAACAAUAAAGUUUUAUUUUUCUACCUUGUCUUUUAUUGAUACCUUUUCUGGUGACUGGAAUUACUUCUGUUUGUGUUAAAAUUGAUUUCACAUAUCCUACUCCGACAUUAACAACUGUGAUAUGCUGGCUGUCC
Long non-coding RNA from Gekko japonicus, 1186 nucleotides. RefSeq lists it as uncharacterized. The record is from RefSeq and is a predicted model, not a curated record. The transcript is spliced from 6 exons. Lineage: Eukaryota; Metazoa; Chordata; Lepidosauria; Squamata; Gekkonidae.